UGCGUAGGCGGCUUUUUAAGUCGGAUGUGAAAUCCCUGAGCUUAACUUAGGAAUUGCAUUCGAUACUGGGAAGCUAGAGUAUGGGAGAGGAUGGUAGAAUUCCAGGUGUAGCGGUGAAAUGCGUAGAGAUCUGGAGGAAUACCGGUGGCGAAGGCGGGUCUCUGGGCAGUAACUGACGCUGAGGAGCGAAAGCAUGGGUAGCGAACAGGAUUAGAUACCCCGGUA
Molecule: ribosomal RNA, 225 nt
Filed under: uncultured Acinetobacter sp.
Lineage: Bacteria; Pseudomonadati; Pseudomonadota; Gammaproteobacteria; Moraxellales; Moraxellaceae
Description: partial 16S ribosomal RNA
Rfam family: Bacterial small subunit ribosomal RNA
Source: RNAcentral